Molecule: ribosomal RNA, 253 nt
Filed under: uncultured bacterium
Lineage: Bacteria
Description: partial 16S ribosomal RNA
Rfam family: Bacterial small subunit ribosomal RNA
Source: RNAcentral
UACGUAGGGUGCAAGCGUUAAUCGGAAUUACUGGGCGUAAAGCGUGCGCAGGCGGUUUUGUAAGUCUGUCGUGAAAUCCCCGGGCUCAACCUGGGAAUUGCGAUGGAGACUGCAAGGCUGGAGUCUGGCAGAGGGGGGUAGAAUUCCACGUGUAGCAGUGAAAUGCGUAGAGAUGUGGAGGAACACCGAUGGCGAAGGCAGCCCCCUGGGUCAAGACUGACGCUGAGGCGCGACAGCGUGGGGAGCAAACAGG